RNAcentral lists this ribosomal RNA (688 nucleotides) under uncultured bacterium. RNAcentral's name for it is "bacterial SSU rRNA". It matches the Rfam family "Bacterial small subunit ribosomal RNA", at positions 69 to 774 of the family's 1533-position model. The record is from RNAcentral.
AGUGGAGUUCUUCGGAACAAAGCUAGCGGCGGACGGGCGAGUAACACGUGGGCAACCUGCCUCAUAGAGGGGAAUAGCCUCCCGAAAGGGAGAUUAAUACCGCAUAAGAUUGUAGCUUCGCAUGAAGUAGCAAUUAAAGGAGCAAUCCGCUAUGAGAUGGGCCCGCGGCGCAUUAGCUAGUUGGUGAGGUAACGGCUCACCAAGGCGACGAUGCGUAGCCGACCUGAGAGGGUGAUCGGCCACAUUGGGACUGAGACACGGCCCAGACUCCUACGGGAGGCAGCAGUGGGGAAUAUUGCACAAUGGGGGAAACCCUGAUGCAGCAAUGCCGCGUGAGUGAUGACGGCCUUCGGGUUGUAAAGCUCUGUCUUCGGGGACGAUAAUGACGGUACCCGAGGAGGAAGCCACGGCUAACUACGUGCCAGCAGCCGCGGUAAUACGUAGGUGGCAAGCGUUGUCCGGAUUUACUGGGCGUAAAGGGAGCGUAGGCGGAUUUUUAAGUGAGAUGUAAAAUACCCGGGCUUAACUUGGGUGCUGCAUUUCAAACUGGAAGUCUAGAGUGCAGGAGAGGAGAAGGGAAUUCCUAGUGUAGCGGUGAAAUGCGUAGAGAUUAGGAAGAACACCAGUGGCGAAGGCGCUUCUCUGGACUGUAACUGACGCUGAGGCUCGAAAGCGUGGGGAGCAAACA